RNAcentral lists this ribosomal RNA (505 nucleotides) under uncultured bacterium. RNAcentral's name for it is "partial 16S ribosomal RNA". It matches the Rfam family "Bacterial small subunit ribosomal RNA", at positions 28 to 507 of the family's 1533-position model. The record is from RNAcentral.
GACGAACGCUGGCGGCGUGCCUAAUACAUGCAAGUAGAACGCACAGUUUAUACCGUAGCUUGCUCCACCAUAGACUGUGAGUUGCGAACGGGUUAGUAACGCGUAGGUAACCUGCCUGGUAGCGGGGGAUAACUAUUGGAAACGAUAGCUAAUACCGCAUAAUAUUAAUUAUUGCAUGAUAAUUAAUUGAAAGGUGCAAUUGCACCACUACCAGAUGGACCUGCGUUGUAUUAGCUAGUAGGUGAGGUAACGGCUCACCUAGGCGACGAUACAUAGCGGAACUGAGAGGGGGAUAGGCCAAACUGGGACUGAGACACGGCCCAGAAUACUACGGGAGGCAGCAGUAGGGAAGCUUCGGCAAUGGACGAAAGUCUGAACGAGCAACGCCGCGUGAGUGAAGAAGGUUGUCGGAUCGUAAAGCUCUGUUGUAAGAGAAGAACGGGUGGGAGAGUGGAAAGUUCACACUGUGACGGUAUCUUACCAGAAAGGGACGGCUAACUACGUG